RNAcentral lists this transfer RNA (65 nucleotides) under Marmota monax (woodchuck). Its description in RNAcentral is "tRNA.Ala". Lineage: Eukaryota; Metazoa; Chordata; Mammalia; Rodentia; Sciuridae. The record is from RNAcentral.
GGUUGUGGCUCAGUGGUAGAGCUUGCCUAGCAUGUGGGAGGCACUGGGUUCGAUCCUCAGCACCA